This 298-nucleotide signal recognition particle RNA is filed under the name Cebus imitator (Panamanian white-faced capuchin). RNAcentral describes it as "Metazoan signal recognition particle RNA (ENSCCAG00000009213.1)". It matches the Rfam family "Metazoan signal recognition particle RNA". From Rfam's summary of the family: The signal recognition particle (SRP) is a universally conserved ribonucleoprotein. Lineage: Eukaryota; Metazoa; Chordata; Mammalia; Primates; Cebidae. The record is from RNAcentral.
GCCAGGCGCAGUGGAUGUGCCUGUAGUCCCAGCUAUUCAGGAGUCUGAGGCAGGAGGAUCUCUUUAGUCCAGGAGUUCUGGGCUGCAGUGCGCUGUGCCGAUUGGGUGUCCGCACUAAGUUCGGCAUCAAUAUGGUGACCUCCUGGGAGCAGGGGACCACCAGGUUGCCUAAGGAGGGGUGAACCGGCCCAGGUCGAAAACAGAGCAGGUCAAAACUCCCGUGCUGAUCAGUAGUGGGAUUGUGCCUGUGAAUAGCCACUGCACUCCAGCCUGGGCAACAUAGCAAGACCCCAUCUCU